Molecule: non-coding RNA, 248 nt
Organism: Pelobates cultripes (western spadefoot toad)
Lineage: Eukaryota; Metazoa; Chordata; Amphibia; Anura; Pelobatidae
Source: the annotation of a GenBank genome assembly
UUGGCAGUCAUUGCGCAGGCACUUGGUGACUCUAGAUAACCUCGAACUGAUCGCAUGCCCCCGUGAUGGUGACGACGCAUUCGGAUGUCUGCCCUAUCAAUUUACAAUGGUACUUUCUGCGCCCACCAUGGUGGUAAUGGGGAAUCAGGGUUCGAUUCCGGAGAGGAAGCCUGAGAAACAGCUACCACAUCCAAGGAAGGCAGCAGGCGCACAAAUUACCCACUCCUGACGCCGGAGGUAGUGACAAA